RNAcentral lists this ribosomal RNA (1330 nucleotides) under uncultured bacterium. RNAcentral's name for it is "bacterial SSU rRNA". It matches the Rfam family "Bacterial small subunit ribosomal RNA", at positions 27 to 1381 of the family's 1533-position model. The record is from RNAcentral.
GGAUAAACGCUAGCGGCGCGCCUAAUGCAUGCAAGUCGAGCGAUGAGGUCCUACGGGGCCAUCAGCGGCAGACGGGUGAGUAACACAUGGGUAACCCACCUUCAAGCCGGGGAUAACGUGUGGAAACGCACGCUAAUACCCGAUGCGUACGCUUAAGAGGAGACUGUGAGCGUAGAAAGUUACGGCGCUUGAAGAGGGGCCUGUGGCCCAUCAGUUAGUUGGUAGGGUAACGGCCUACCAAGGCGAAGACGGGUAGGGGGUGUGAGAGCACGGCCCCCCACAAUGGGACUGAGAGACGGCCCAUACUCCUACGGGAGGCAGCAGCAGGGAAUCUUGCGCAAUGGACGGAAGUCUGACGCAGCGACGCCGCGUGGGUGAAGACGGCCUUCGGGUUGUAAAGCCCUUUUCUGGAGGAAGAGGGAGGACGGUACUCCAGGAAUAAGUGUCGGCUAACUACGUGCCAGCAGCCGCGGUAAUACGUAGGACACGAGCGUUAUCCGGAUUUACUGGGCGUAAAGCGCCUGUAGGCGGUUCUUCAAGUCGUUUGUGAAAGCCCUGGGCUCAACCUGGGGAGGCCAAGCGAUACUGGAGGACUUGAGGGUGACAGAGGGGAGUGGAAUUUCCGGUGUAGCGGUAAAAUGCGCAGAUAUCGGGAGGAACACCAGUGGCGAAGGCGGCUCCCUGGGUCACACCAGNNGCUGAGAGGCGAAAGCUAGGGGAGCGAACAGGAUUAGAGACCCUGGUAGUCCUAGCCCUAAACGCUGGAUGCUAGGUGUGGGAUCGAGAGGUUCCGUGCCACAGCUAACGCGAUAAGCAUCCCGCCUGGGGACUACGGCCGCAAGGCUAAAACUCAAACGAAUUGACGGGACCCCGCACAAGCAGCGGAGCGUGUGGUUUAAUUCGAUGCUACACGAAGAACCUUACCAGGUCUUGACAUCCAGUAAAACUUGUAGAGAUAUGAGGUGCCUUCGGGCAUACUGAGACAGGUGGUGCAUGGUUGUCGUCAGCUCGUGUCGUGAGAUGUUGGGUUAAGUCCCGCAACGAGCGCAACCCUUGCCGAUAGUUACUAACGGGUGAAGCCGAGGACUCUAUUGGGACCGCCGGGGACAACUCGGAGGAAGGUGGGGACGACGUCAAAUCAUCAUGCCCCUUAUGACCUGGGCUACACACGUGCUACAAUGGCCGAGACAGAGAGGAGCGAAGGCGCGAGCCGGAGCGGAUCUCAAAAAAGCGGUCACAGUUCGGAUUGUGGGCUGCAACCCGCCCGCAUGAAGCAGGAGUUGCUAGUAAUCGCGAAUCAGCAUGUCGCGGUGAAUACGUUCCCGGGCCU